Molecule: ribosomal RNA, 490 nt
Filed under: uncultured bacterium
Lineage: Bacteria
Description: partial 16S ribosomal RNA
Rfam family: Bacterial small subunit ribosomal RNA
Source: RNAcentral
AUUGAACGCUGGCGGCAGGCCUAACACAUGCCAGUCGAACGGUAACAGGAAGCAGCUUGCUGCUUCGCUGACGAGUGGCGGACGGGUGAGUAAUGUCUGGGAAGCUGCCUGAUGGAGGGGGAUAACUACUGGAAACGGUAGCUAAUACCGCAUAAUGUCGCAAGACCAAAGAGGGGGACCUUCGGGCCUCUUGCCAUCGGAUGUGCCCAGAUGGGAUUAGCUUGUUGGUGGGGUAACGGCUCACCAAGGCGACGAUCCCUAGCUGGUCUGAGAGGAUGACCAGCCACACUGGGACUGAGACACGGUCCAGACUCCUACGGGAGGCAGCAGUGGGGAAUAUUGCACAAUGGGCGCAAGCCUGAUGCAGCCAUGCCGCGUGUAUGAAGAAGGCCUUCGGGUUGUAAAGUACUUUCAGCGGGGAGGAAGGGAGUAAAGUUAAUACCGUUGCUCAUUGACGUUACCCGCAGAAGAAGCACCGGCUAACUCCGUG